GGUGAAUUUUCCGCAAUGGGCGCAAGCCUGACGGAGCAAUACCGCGUGAGGGAGGAAGGCUCUUGGGUCGUAAACCUCUUUUAUCAGGGAAGAACACAAUGACGGUACCUGAUGAAUCAGCAUCGGCUAACUCUGUGCCAGCAGCCGCGGUAAUACAGAGGAUGCAAGCGUUAUCCGGAAUUAUUGGGCGUAAAGCGUCCGCAGGUGGUUUUGGUAGUCUGCUGUCAAAGCGCGAGGCUCAACUUCGUAUCGGCGGUGGAAACUCCAAGACUAGAGCUAGGUAGGGGUCACGGGAAUUCCCAGUGUAGCGGUGAAAUGCGUAGAUAUUGGGAAGAACACCAGCGGCGAAGGCGCGCUACUGGGCCGAAACUGACACUCAUGGACGAAAGCUAGGGGAGCGAAAGGGAUUAGAUACCCCUGUAGUCCUAGCUGUAAACGAUGACAACUAGGUGUUGCGCGUAUCGACCCGUGCAGUGCCGUAGCUAACGCGUUAAGUUGUC
This 500-nucleotide ribosomal RNA is filed under the name uncultured cyanobacterium. RNAcentral describes it as "bacterial SSU rRNA". It matches the Rfam family "Bacterial small subunit ribosomal RNA", at positions 356 to 869 of the family's 1533-position model. The record is from RNAcentral. Lineage: Bacteria; Bacillati; Cyanobacteriota.